AGACUCAAACGGCGCAACUACUGUUCAAUCGUCUCUCUCGCCCAAACCAAGCCCCAAUUCAGUCCAGUUUCAGGCGACCAUGCGUCUCCCCCUUCUCUCCUCCUGCCAUUUUGUAAUGGUUUCUGACACCAAAGAUCCCCCCUCCCCUCACUCACCCGAUUUUGAACCAUAUCACGCAAUUGGAAGGUUCUGGAGGACGAUCGUUGGAUGAGUAUGAGGAGUUGGAUUGAUUUCAUUCAAUCCGAGCCCAACAUUCAUCAGGUGCUCAUUUUCAAAAAGGACCAAAUUCGAUUUUGUAAAGGGGGAUGAUUCAGAGGGAAUUUUUGGAGAGAAGAGAGGUCACUUGGAAAUUAGGAUUCUAAUUAAGCUUCUUUUCUCUUUUAUUCAUCUGAAACUAUCUUGGUUUAAUUCCAUUUACAAUAGAAAAAAACAUUUCAUUUUCGUUUUUAAUCUUAGCCCCUUUUGUUCUUUUCAUCUUCAAGUUCAGAAAUUUUCACUUUCAUGAUGAGUUUGGAUUGAACUCGAAGGUUGAGUUUGUUUUCUGGAUUUCAUUUUGAGUUAAUGGAAGUCGACUGAGUGCUGUUUGUUUCGAGCUGCUCCAACGUUGUUCGUUUAGCUGCUGGUUCGUGAGUUCAUUGCAAUCUUUGUUUGGACUCGCUUCCUCUGAGAAUCGUUGUAAUCAUUAAAUAGCAUUAAUCGAAAGUUCAUUUUCAGGUUCAUUUCUAGACUCUCCUAUUUUUUUUUCUAUUUUGUGUGAUCUGAAAUGUCUUGUUUGUUUUAAUAGAUUCCUGGAUACCUAAGAAGUAAAUUAACAUAAAUGAACAAUUUUAGGAUGCUUGGUUAAGCUUUGAGUUGGUUUUCUGAAUUUGAACAUGGUUGUUUGAGUGGUUCUGUUGUUUUUAUGGAAAUGUGAAUACAAAUGGAGACUGACUUGGAGUGUUGUUGACUGAGAAUCGUAUGAAGUUGAUUCAUGGGCUGUGACCUGAAGUUGUAUUAAGAAAUCUUGCAAGUUCAGUUCCUGUAACAUGUUUCUGUCCAGUUUGCUGCACUGCUGAGUAGCUUCAGCUACAAUUUCUGCUAGUUUGAGUUAUAGUUUUGUUGUAUCCAGUUAAUGUUGGAUUUGCUGUUUAUCUUUUGCUUCAAUGAAAGUUUAUGAAAAUAGCAACCAUUAGUUUCUUUGUUGUUGAUUAGCUGUGUUUGAGCUCUAGCUUUAAAGCCAGGAUCAUUGCUUGGUUUUCUUUGCCGCUGCCUCUCCUGCAGUAGUUGAGCUUGCUUUCUUUGGGUUCUGGCCCUUAUUUGAUUUUUUUAGAGUGCUGGUUUUUUGCGUCUGGGUAUAUUUUAAGACCUCAAGUGUUGAAUAUGAUGUAUUUAAUGAAAAACAGGAAUUAUAUCUUCUCCAAUUUCAAAUGUUAAGAGUUCACCUUGAAAUUAUCUUUUCAGAUUUCUUGUUAGUUGAGUAAGUUGAUAGUUUCUAUUUGAGAGAUUUACUGUGAAAAAUAUUCAGUUUUUGUAGCAUUUCCUUGAUUCUUCUUGUCUUGCAUCAGUAGGAUUAAUAAUUUGUGAACUUUAAAAUAUUUUCCUCUUUCCCCCCAGUUUUUGUAUACUUUUGAACCAUAUUUGCAUUAUUUGAGUCAAUUCCUUAGACCUAUUGAGAUAACCUAUGCAUCAAUUGUUGAUCUGAGUUUUCUGCGACGUCAAAGUGAGCAUGUUUAGCAUUUGUGGUUGCGAGGUUUUUGAGAAUUUGGUUAGUUCAAAUAAUGGGAAUCAAAGGCAGCACUGAUGUUGUAAAGGGUUAGUUCUGAUGUGCCUGAUUUGAAUUCAUCUGUAUGUAUGUUUUCGUGAGAUUAACGAGAGGCUACAUGGUGCUAAUUGGGUUUGCAAAUGAAUUUGAGAAGCUAACAGUUAUGAAGAUAGAGGGAAUAAAAUAAAAGAGAUGUUAUAUAGCAUGAUAGCUCAAGGGAAGAGAGAUCAGUCGGGUUUUAAGCUUUCAUCAUGCUUUGAUCCACUACUUUUCAUCUUUAUUUUAUUUUCGUGUUUGUUCUGUUGAAUCGUUAUUCGAUCUCCUUUAUUUUAUGUGAUUGACCGUUAACUUCUUGGGCAAUAAUUUACAUGAGUUAAUUUUGAGUGUUUGUCAGGGAAUGGAAAAGGUCGAGGUCCAUUAGCGACUAUUUUGUUUCAUGCUUUAGGAGUAAGCUCAGUCUAAAUACGUGAAACGAGAGAUUUAAAAAUGGAGCAUGAAAUGAGAUCUUAUUUAUUUAGUUAUUUUAAUUUUGUUUACUACUCAUGAACUUCAUAGUUUGCUUUGGGCCCGUAAUUAAAAUAUCACGACUACGGGUACGGUUCCCGUGAUAUAGUUGUGAUGAUUAAUUUCAAAUUAGCUCUAAAUAUGAAUAUCCUAGUGCAUUUAGUUGAAUAGCUUUCAGGCGUGCCAUUCCUACAUUUGAAUCAUAUAAUCUAUGGCCCUCAUAUUUUAUAACUUAGUUACUAAAAAUGAAACUUGUAGUUUGCUUUAGGCGCGCAAAUGAAUUAUUACAAUUACGGGUACGGUUCCCAUAACGUGAUUGUGAUAAUCCUUUCUUUUAAAAUAAUUUGAGGUACGUCAUACACAAAUAAAAUCCAUAACGUAUGACCCUCACAUAAAUACAAAAUUAGUAUAGAAAUGCCAUGAACUUUCGUUGUUUGCUUUAGGCACAAUAAUUAAAUAAUUGUCAUAGCUACGGAUACGGUUCCCGUGACGUGGUCGUGUCACUUAAUUUCUAAAAAACCGGGGGUACAUUUAUGUUACCCAGCCACAAUUUAAUCAUGUUAUUAAAAUAAAUAUGUUGUAGAUCGUGAGUAUGGUUUCCAUGACAUGAUUCGCAAUGUGUAGUCAAGGUAAUUAGUUGUAUGAUAAUUAGAUUAUUAAAAGCGGUUUUUAAAGGGAUAAAAUGCACAUAGAUUUUAAAGAUGUUUUAAAAUCAAAUAAAUAGACCAAUAAUAACUGUUUAGCGACCGUGAUAAAACCACGAAACCCGGGAAUGCCUAACACCUUAUCCCGGGUUAACAGAAUUCCUUACCCAAAUUUUUGUGUUCGCGGACUGUAAAACAGAGUCAAUUUUUCCUUGAUUCGGGAUUGAAACCGGUGACUUGGGACACCAUAAAUUAUCCCAAGUGGAGACUUUGAAUUUUAAAUAAAUAAUUCUGUUUCGAUUGUCAGUUAAAUUGGAAAAAACUCCCUUAAUACUCAUUUCCGGGGGUAGUAAAAAGGAGGUAUGACAGCUCUGGCGACUCCGCUAGGGAUCGAACCCAUAAUCUCUGGUUUAGGGUUCAAGAAUUCGAGCUUGGAAUAAUUGUUAUAUUUUGCUUUAUUUAUUGUCUGAUUUUAUCUACAUGUUUGGGCCUAACAUGCUAAAUGUUGCUCUUUACCGCUUUGAUAGUAUCUGAACUGUAUAUAAACUGCUAGGAAACCCCUCUCUUCUAGUGCCCGCUGGCGUGGCUUCUUUCCGUUAGUGUCAUAUCCCAAAUUAGAACGAGGUUCGAACAAGUAGCAAAGCCGGAUGAUCUUUUGGUUAUCGGUAUGCUGCCCCCCCCUCUGGCUCGCGUUGUCCACUCGAGUAAGCCAGGUCUAGAAUAAUACACCCAGGUUUAAACCUAGAAAAAUUUAGCCUCAUGCCGGAUCCCUAGUAGGAACUCUUGUUUGCAUCAUGUGCAUUUAACUUUGGGGACUCAACACAGGAGUUGGGUCUGUCUAGGACAGCAUACUCGGAAAUAAAAGACCGACCUGAUGCAUUUUAUGUGCUACCUGUGCAUUUAAUUUGUUUCGGGUUGCAUGUUGACUGACUUCUAGAUUGAGUGAGGAAAAUGAAAAGAAAAACUCAGUUGAGGUAUGAGAGAGGAUUUCACCCGUUUCCCAAAAAAUGGUGCCUAAAAUGUCCCAAAACGCUGCCGAAUUUUUGAAAAAAGAAAAGAAAAAAAGAUUCCUUGAAAAAAAAUAAAGAAAAAAAAGUUUCUUGAAAAGAGAAGAGUUAGUCCAAAAUGGUUUUUGUUUUUUUUCCUUUCACGUCAAAACUGAGCGAACUACGCGGGUUUGAUUCUUACCAGACGUGAGAUACGUAGGCAACCCUCAUCGGGUCCAGCCCCUCUUUUGAAAAUUUUGAAAAUAAAUAUAUGAAGUGUCGUCAUUUUGUCAUAAAUACAGUAGGUGAUGCCAUUUUAUCUAAAUAGCCGAAUGUCCCAGCAGGACGCUGGAAGGCUACUUUGCAAAAAUAGCCACCGAUGGUUUAUUUGUUAAUUUUGGCCAUUAGCGAACGCAACCUUAAGAACUUCCAUUCCGAAGUAAUGAAAGGCCGUAUUCACAAAAGCAGCCCUGAUUUAUUUUUGCAAAACUAAGCCUUUUGUCAGUUUUCAAAUAAGAUUCACUUUGUCUUUAAAUCAACCACCUUAAUCUAAAUGUGCAGAAUGAGCACGAGUCAAAAUUUACCAAUGAAGGUCAUGUCCAAGAUUCUGUUGGAUCUACUCAUGUGGUGGGAAGAUUUGGGUAAAGAAGGACACGAUGUGGUUAACCUUUAUUUGGGAGGGCUCACCGGAUUGAUGAAGAUCUAGCCUAGAGGAGACAUAAUAAGGGCACUUGUAACAUUUUGGGACCCGACUCACAACGUCCUACAUUUAUCAGAUUUUGAACUCACGCCCACUUUGGAAGAAAUAGCGGGUUAUAUGGGAAGUACUGAAGGUCUAAGGCAUAAGUACCUGGUCGCUCUGAGAACCAUUACCCCUCACAAGUUCCUGGAUUUGCUAAAAAUAAGUAGGGGGUCCAGUACGCAGAUUUGGCGGUCGGUUUUUCCACUCUGCGCUUCAUAUACCAGAGGUACGGGCAUGUAGAAGGAUUUGACAACACGGAAAGUGGAGUUUGUAGCAAAGGGAACAGAGCAAAAUGGUAUGAGCAUAGGCGUUUCGCUUUCAUGGUAGCUUUCUUAGGACUCAUGGUGUUUCCCCGGAAGGAUGGGAAUAUCGAUCUACGGGUAGCUGGAGUCGUCAAUGUCUUGAUUACCAAUGCCAAGAGAACCCUCGCCCCUAUGAUAGUGUCUGAGAUAUACCGAGCUCUCACAACUUGUAAAGCUGGGGCAGACUUUUUUGAGGGAUGCAAUUUGCAAUUACAAAUGUGGAUGAUCGAGCAUCUGCAUCACCUCCCUCAGUAUAUGAGUUAUGGAUCCACAGAAAAAAAACUGCAUUGAGUUCGACGCAAGGAUCUCAGGGUUCAAGUUGCUAGAAGGGUUUGGAGAUUGGGUAUCCCGCCUUCGCUCCAUCACUGCGGGGCAAAUCGAGUGGACACUGGGUUGGCUUCCAGUUGAAGAGAUUGUGUAUAUGUCUGCCAUCGGUCCUUACCUCCUUCUAAUGGGUCUUCGAGGCAUUCAGCCUUACGUUCCAUACUGGGUGAUGAGAUAGUUGGAAAGAUGCCAGGUGACGCACCCAGAUGAAGAUCUUAGUAUUUAUGAGGUCGAAGUCAGCUUCAACGGCCAAUUUCAAGAAGAAACAGUUCGUCAUAUUUGGAACAAGUGCCAGUAUUUGACAACAAACACUCGAGUGUGUGACCUAUCUAGAGGCGAGGUCUCACCCGCCUAUGUUGCCUGGUAUAGAAAGAAGAACAACGCAAGUGCCGAACCUGAAAAACCAACCAAAAAGCCUCACAUUCAGGAAUUUGUUGAAGCGUCGCAAGAACAGUGGGCUUGGUUGGCCAAGGAGAAUGAUUACACGGCCCCAAUAGGCAAACUGGAAAAACAAGUUAGAGAUCUUCAAUUUGAGAAUGGUUUGCAAGUUGAUGCAGAUGAGGGUGAAAAGAAAAAGCUAGCCAAAGAAAAUGACGCCCUCGGAGCCCAAAUUCAAGAAAUGAAAAUAGCAGCCGAAAACUCUGCUAGAAGUGUAAAAGAUGAAAAGCUUAUAGGUAACCUUAGGCAGAAAGUGGGUAAAUAUGGUUUUGAUCUGAACAAGGCCAAAGGCGAAUAGGCAAGAGCUCGAACAAAAUUGGUUAAAAAUGCGGAGGAACGAGCACGUUUUGUCAAACAGUUAAAAGAGAAAUAUGAAAAUGGAGUUGUGGGGUUGAAGAAAAAGAUCACCGUCCUUGAGAACGAAAUGACUAAGCAGGCAAGGGAUUUCGAAGCAGAAAGAGAACACUGGUAUGCACUGAUGUCACAGUUAGAAAAAGACCUGCAGAAGCUUCAAGAGCAAAAUCAUACAGCUGAACAAGUUUUGGGGGCCAGGUCUCAGCAGAUUGGACGGUUGCUACAAGAAAAAGGUAUCAUCAGGGAGAGGGUUAGAGCAAUUGUUGACUACAUCGUCAUGAAGUGCCAUGAAUGUGAAUACAUGACUAGAACCACCUUAUUUGCUGCGGUAAUGACCUUUGUUCGCCAAAUAAUGAGUGACCUGGAGCGUCUUCAAGGGGAUCUUGUGCAUAGGCAUGUGGCAAGACCGACUGACGUCCCACGAGCCCCUGGAGCAAUUGAGGCACUUAUGUAUUCAUGAUUUUCAUUCGAGUCUAUAUUUUCACCUUUCUUCCAGAGUCUGUUAGUCUUUAUCGAGUCUGUAUUUUCAUUUUUCUUUGGAGUCUAUUAGUUCCCUUUUUCGAGUCUGUUAGUCUUUAUGUUUAAAUCUGUAGAAGAAGUUGUUAUAAUCGAGAUAUUUUGUUUUUUUUUUAUUUUAUGAAAAUUUGAAAACCACAAAAAAUGUUUUAUUUAUUUAUUUUUAUCUUAUACUUAUUCUUAGAACUAUGCUUGGUCUGAUUCAUGCGGCAUCAUGAUACGUAGGCAAUCCCUAUAGGAUUCGAUCAUAACCGUGAGAUGAAAAAGAAAAAGAAAAAAAGAGAGAGGAAAACAAGAAAGGCUGUGGGAAAGAAAUAAUGGUAAAACAAGAGAGGAGAAUAAGAGAAUAAAAGCGAGAAUCAAGCAAAGGAAAGCAUGAAUGAAAAAAGGAGAGAAAAAAUUUUGGAAAUUAGUAAAAGCCAGGAUGACGCAAGUGGCCGUUCAAAUGCAUGCUAGAAAUGGUUAAUUGUUUAGGUGCAUUACAUCCCCAAUGUGCGGUUACCUAUCCGUUAAAAUCUAAUCGCUAACGAGUUUGUUGUUGUCAUCAAGUCCAGGCAGGUGGUUAGUUUGUUUGACAUUCUGGCAACCCACCCGUACAACACCAGGUCCAAAGACAAGUUGACCAUGGCUAACCAAGAACUGGAUGCAAGUGUUAUUGAUCCGUCAAGAGAGGGGGAAGACUCUGAUGUUAAUCUGAAAGAGGAGUUGUAUAAGCUGAAACACCGGAUGGCAGAGAUGUACCAGGCAUGGGUAAAAGGGCAUCCACCACCAUCCUACCCCGCCAACCCUGCUUUUGUCCCGCAGCUGGCUCAAUCCCAAGAACCUCCCACUGUUGAUUCAUCUCCAGGCUUUCCCAUUUACCACCACUGCCAAGGUACCACUUCUCAAACCCCACAAGCACCACCACCCAAACCAGUCCCAUACCCUCCUCCUCCAACCACCCCUAUUUUCGUGGCACCCCGACCCCCUACACUCCACUGAUCCUCCAGUGAGCCCUUAUUCCAGACCCAAGAUAACCAAUACUAUCCCUCGAAGCCUACUUUCAAGGCCCCAAAGCAUUACUCUUACACUUCUCGUUUCGACCUCCCAGUUGAGACUGAGAAACCACCUAAAACCUCAGAGCAGGAGGAGAUGUUCAGGAAGGUUAGAAGCCUAGAACAGUCAUUCAGAAACAUGCAGGGAUUGGGAGGCCAGGUGAGCAUAGCCUACAAAGAUUUGAUCUAUUUCUCGAUGUUCAGUUGCCGGUAGUAUUUAAGAUGCCGAAGUUUGAUUUGUAUGAUGGGUACGGAGACCCAGUGGCCCACUUAAGGGGAUUCUGCAGUAAAAUGAGAGGAACCGAUGGGAAAGAUGAGCUAUUGAUGGCAUACUUUAGCCAAUAUUUGAGUGGUUCGGCAUUAGAGUGGUACACUCAUCAGGACCACAACAGAUAGUAUACCUGGGAUGAUUUGGCCCAAGCAUUCUCUCGUCAUUUCUAGUACAACAUCGAGAUUGUUCCAGAUCAUUUGUCUUUGACUAAAUUGAGAAGAAGCCUAAUGAAAGUUUCAGAGAAUAUGGUUUUCGCUGGAGAGAACAAGCGGCAAAAGUUAACCCCCCGAUGGAGGAGAGCGAAAUGGUGGAGUACUUUCUGUAAGCUAUAGAGCCCACUUACUUUGGCCAUCUGAUAUCGGCCAUAGGAAAAUCAUUCAACGAGGUAGUGAAGAUGGGUGGCAUAGUGAAAGAAGGGCUUUAAUCAAGAAAAAUCAUGAGUUACUCGGCUAUCAAGGCAACUACCCAAGCCAUUCAAAACGGUAUUGGGGGAGUGAUUGGAAAGAAGAAGAAAGAAGAUAUGGCAACAAUUGAUUCAGGAUCAUGGUUUGGACCCAGGGGCCCGUCACACCAAUAUACCCAGCCUCGACCCCAUCACUGUACCUACACUCAAACCUCAUAUAAUCCACCGCAACACUACUUCCCAUCACCAGACCCUUAUAUUUCUAUCCACCACACCCAAACAUAUACUUAACCUCUUGCCUACGCACAAUGGCGUGCCCCAGCCCCACAAAACACCUACCCAGAUCCACAAAAUGCUUACACACCCCCACGAGCCUACCGAAACCCUGCCGGUCCAAGUUUCCGACCCAAUCCAGCAUUCAAAAAUGAGAGGUUGCAGCGAAAGAAAACCUUUAUCCCAUUGGGGAGUCUUAUACUAGUUUGUUCCAUGGAUUGAGGCAGUUGGAUAUGCUCAGGCCAAUUGAGUCGAUAUUGUCAAACCCUCCUCCAAAAAAUCUUGAUUACUCUGUGAGCUGUGAAUAUUGUUCUGGUAAUCCGGGACAUGAUAUGGAAAAGUGUUGGCACUUGAAAAAUUCCAUCCAGGAGCUCAUUGACACAAACCGGAUUGAAGUGCAAACUCCAGAGGCCCCCAACAUCAACCGGAACCUAUUACAAACCCAUCAGGAAACAAACAUGAUUGAGAUAGUACAUAAGGGAGGGGAACCUAAGAAGCUUCACAAGUUGAGGUCAAGCCAGUUAAAAAACCAACAGUUGAAAGAUCAGUGAACAAGUUGAGCAGGACAAACGGUGAACCAUCUGUGGUAGUAAAUAAAGGUUCCCCAAGUGAUGUUGCGGCAAAAUAGGAAAAGUCAAAAGUGGUUGUGCCAGGAGUGGAAAAUAAGCCUAUCAUAAUUGUAGAGGGUGACCAUACGGAUCCUGUUAUUACUAAGCUUGUAACCCAGUUGUUGGUAAUCAACAGCAAGGCUAUCCCAUGGAACUAUAUGACCUAUAAGGCAAAGAAAGUGAAAGAAGAAGUCAAUGAGGCCCAGGGAUUAACUCGUUUAGGGAGAUACUUUGCCCAGGAAGAGUUAAGGAAAGCUAAAACAUCCAGAGAUAAUCUAGUCCUAGUAAAGAAGGUAGUGACUGAAGAAGAGGCGGAGGAGUUUCUGAGAAAGAUGAAGGUACAAGAUUAUUCCAUCGUGGAGCAGUUGAGAAAGAUGUCUGCUCAGAUAUUUUUACUGUCAUUGUUGAUCCACUCAGACGAGCAUCGUCGGGCCCUGAUGAAAAUUCUGAACGAAGCUCAUGUCCCCGACAAAAUUUCAGUGGACCAUCUGGAAAAUAUCGCCAACAAAAUAUUCGAGGUGAACAGGGUCACCUUCUCUGAUGAUGAGUUACCGGUGGAAGGUACUGAACACAACAAAGUUCUAUACCUUACGGUAAAAUGUGAGGAUUCUGUGGUCACAGGGUGUUAGUUGACAAUGGUUCCAAUGCAAACAUUUGUCCUCUCUCUACUCUGAACAAGUUGAAAUUUGAUGAUGAGAGGAUUCACAAAAACAACAUCUACGUUUGAGGUUUUAAUGGUGGAGGGAAAGAUUAGUUGGUGAUAUAGUGCUUGAUUUGACAAUAGGAUCGGUGGAAUUCACCAUGAAGUUCCAGGUACUGGACAUGGCUGUCUCCUACAAUUUAUGUUAGGUCGACCUUGGAUUCAUGCCACCAAAACAGUCCCAUCCACUCUGCAUCAGAUGGUCAAGUUCGAAUGGGAUAGACAGGAGAUCAUCGUGCAUGGAAAGGAUAAUUUGUGUGCUCAGAGUGAUGCCUCUGUCCCGUUCAUUGAGGCUGAAGAUGACAAAGGGCCUUGGGUCUAUCAAGUUUUUGAAACAGUGCUGGUUGAGAAGGUUCCAGAGGGGAAAUGUGUUCUAACUCCAAAGAUAACCUCCGCAUCAGUCAUGGUGGCCUUUGAAAUGCUGAAAAAUAGAUUUGUGCUCGGUAAAGGUUUGGGUGCAUCUCUGCAGGGUAUCAUACAGCCAGUAUCGCUCCCUGAAAAUUUGGGUACGUUCGGUCUUGGAUUCAAACCUACAGCAGCAGAUGUGAAAAGGGCUAAAAGAUUGAAACAGAAGGCGUGGGCACUUCCAAAGCCCGUUCCGCGUCUUUUCAGGUCUUUUGUCAAGCCGGGUGCUAGGUAACGCCCAGUAACAACAGUCCCAAGUUUUGUGGUUGACAUUGAUGAGGAGUUAAUUGAAAGGUUCAAGAGGUUGUUUGAUGAUGUGAACAUGGUAGAAGGUGGAGAAGGUUCUAGCAAAGCGUACGUGCAGUUCGUCGGGCCGAAUGUAAAGCUUAACAAUUGGAAGGCUACUCAUCUCCCUACCCGGAUAGAGUCUUGGUAGUUUAUUUCUUUUUCUUUCUAUCUGGGUCAUUUCAGGGUUGUGACCUAGACUUUUAUUUUCUUCUUGUUGAUGUACAAACCUUAUUAUCCUUUAUUUUUAAUGAAAUGCAAUUUCCCUUUUCCGUCAUUCCUGAUAGUUCUUAUUUCUGUUUUCUUUUCUUAUUUGUACAGUUCUUUUUAUGCUGGUUUCAAUGACAUGACAUACAUGAGGAAUCUUUGGCCAAGUCUUAAAAGUCAG
This 10918-nucleotide long non-coding RNA is filed under the name Nicotiana tabacum (common tobacco). Its description in RNAcentral is "long non-coding RNA (NTAB_LNC007959)". The record is from RNAcentral. Lineage: Eukaryota; Viridiplantae; Streptophyta; Magnoliopsida; Solanales; Solanaceae.